GCUUGCGAACCUGAGUAUGUGAGGCACAAUUCCAUCCCUUUUCGGAACAGUUCAAUCAUAGGUCAACUGAAUGUCACAUAAUCAAAGGUCUUUGACUGUGAGCAUUUGCUCAAAUUGGUUUCUUCUGAGUCUCUUUGAUUUUGCGUCAGGAGUUGUUAGAAACAUCAUUUUGCCCAACUUUAGUAACAAGGUCUUUAAUGAAAGCGAGUGCUUUCUAAGCUCAGCUCCCAGCAUGUAAUUACUCCAGUGAAACAGUGCAUGUAAAAUAUCAGGUGUUCGGAGUUCAGUAUUGACCUACCUAGUUUCUGCACCGCUAAUCGUCCAAGGCUGAAUGUGAUUAGAUCAAUUGGUAUCAUUUAUGAGAAGAAAUGGAAAGCUCGCAUAUCACCUUCCAUAUAUUAACUAAAUGCUCUUAUCAAGAGAUUGCCGUUUCGGUUGAUGUCUGUCAGUGAACCUUAAAAACUCAAGGAAACUAAGAGGUAAAUUUUGCAAUAUUUUAUCCUUAAAAUGCCUAUAUUACGACCAAAUACUUUCUUCGUGGCUAUUGCAUUUUUUAAAAUAACUUAAGGCACUACCUAGGUGGGCAAGUAUAUGAUUUGACAAAUUUUAUGGUGAAGCGAUAUUAUUCGAAAUUAAUCCAA
Molecule: non-coding RNA, 641 nt
Organism: Bemisia tabaci
Lineage: Eukaryota; Metazoa; Arthropoda; Insecta; Hemiptera; Aleyrodidae
Source: RefSeq, a predicted model, not a curated record